CCGAGUUUUCAACUCCCAAACCCCUGUGAACAUACCUUUUGUUGCUUCGGCGGGAUCGCCCCAGCUGCCCUGCGCGCUGGAUCCAGGCCCCCGCCGCAAGACCCAAAACUCUGUCUUUAUAGUUAUUCUUCUGAGUGGCUUUAAGCAAAAAAUAAAUUA
Molecule: unclassified non-coding RNA, 159 nt
Filed under: uncultured fungus
Lineage: Eukaryota; Fungi
Description: sequence contains ITS1, 5.8S rRNA gene
Source: RNAcentral